AGACACAAAAGUGCCGCCAGCUCAUCA
Molecule: small RNA, 27 nt
Filed under: Bombyx mori (domestic silkworm)
Lineage: Eukaryota; Metazoa; Arthropoda; Insecta; Lepidoptera; Bombycidae
Description: ovarian small RNA-11807
Source: RNAcentral